GUAGAGGGCUGACAGCAGAGGUGUCUGUCUGAACUGAUACAUAUCUCUGGGUUAGGGUGGUAGAGGGCUGACAGCAGAGGUGUCUGUCUGAACUGAUAAAUAUCUGUGGGUUAGGGUGGAUAGAGGGCUGACAGCAGAGGUGUCUGUCUGAACUGAUAAAUAUCUCUGGGUUAGGGUGGUAGAGGGCUGACAGCAGAGGUGUCUGUCUGAACUGAUACAUAUCUCUGGGUUAGGGUGGUAGAGGGCUGACAGCAGAGGUGUCUGUCUGAACUGAUAAAUAUCUGUGGGUUAGGGUGGUAGAGGGCUGACAGCAGAGGUGUCUGUCUGAACUGAUAAAUAUCUGUGGGUUAGGGUGGUAGAGGGCUGACAGCAGAGGUGUCUGUCUGAACUGAUAAAUAUCUCUGGGUUAGGGUGGUAGAGGGCUGACAGCAGAGGUGUCUGUCUGAACUGAUACAUAUCUCUGGGUUAGGGUGGUAGAG
Molecule: long non-coding RNA, 479 nt
Organism: Oncorhynchus tshawytscha (Chinook salmon)
Lineage: Eukaryota; Metazoa; Chordata; Actinopteri; Salmoniformes; Salmonidae
Source: Ensembl